Molecule: long non-coding RNA, 647 nt
Filed under: Lactuca sativa (garden lettuce)
Lineage: Eukaryota; Viridiplantae; Streptophyta; Magnoliopsida; Asterales; Asteraceae
Description: long non-coding RNA (LSAT_LNC008366)
Source: RNAcentral
CAGCGGUUCCCAACUCCACCAUUCCAGGCACCUCCACCACGUACUUCACCUGUUGGACAACCAAUAUUGCCUCCAACAACAAUCAGACCUCCAAGUUUCCAAAAUCAUCAACCCCAGAUACCACCACCAAUGCCUAUGGGUUCUCCACCUCAAACCAUGAAUGGUAUGCUUUCCAACUCAAAUAUGCAGCAACCCCAACCUUCAAUGGGUCCAGCUCAUCCUGCUGCUGUCCGUGCCACCUCAUCAUCUCCUUGGCCUGGCUAUCCGGGUAUGCAGAGUAACACAGCAACACCAACAGCACCAGGAGGUUAUGCUCCACCUCAGCCCACCACAUCCACCCCCUUUCAAGGUGGUUUUGGACCAACCCCACCCCCACCAGGAGGUUAUGCUCCACCUCAGCCCACCACAUCUGCCCCCUUUCAAGGUGGUUUUGGACCAACCCCACCCCCACCAGGAGGAUAUGCUCCACCUCAGCCCACCACAUCUGCUCCCUUUCAAGGUGGUUAUGGAUCAACCCCACCGGUUGCAUCUCCUCUAGGAAUGUAUGUAGGAGGGUCCACACCUCCAACGGGAGGUAUGCAAGGAUUGGUAGAAGACUUCAGCUCACUUUCUAUUGGGUCUGUCCCAGGAUCUUUUGAUGCUGGGCU